GUUAUUAAUAGUCAUUCAGUUAAAAGCUAGUUAUUUCCCAUUGUUUUGCCAAAUACUUUCUCUUUGGUUACCUAAAAUAAACCAGCUUUUUUCCCUUAAGCCAUAUUUAUCAUAUUUUGAAAUAUAGUAUCUAACUCAGUGGUUUCAGAAUCUGAUAGACCUAAAGAAUCUUCUGUCACAUAACAUAAAAUCCACAGUUUUCUUUAUACUUUCAGUCCUAUAACCAUGAACUGUCUUUGAAUUUCAUCUAAAAUACAGUGUUUUCCAGUCCCAAUUUGAAACUUUUGCCAGUAGCUUUUGUAAUGUCAGGCCUUUGCAGGUUUAAUUUCACUGUACUUUAGGCAAUUUAGUGUUGAUUUCCUGUUGAUUAGCACAUGGAAUAUUUUGUGAUCUCCAUUUAAAUCACUUACUCUUCGUAAAGCCCUGCUGUUUCAGAGAUUAGAAACAGAAGGCCUGCAGCUGAAGGACCACCCUGCAUCUCCUGAUUUGCUUUUUUUGCACAGAAGUAAAAAUGACCAACCUGUCAGUAAGAGCAACUG
RNAcentral lists this long non-coding RNA (539 nucleotides) under Bos taurus (domestic cattle). Its description in RNAcentral is "long non-coding RNA NONBTAT022739". Lineage: Eukaryota; Metazoa; Chordata; Mammalia; Artiodactyla; Bovidae. The record is from RNAcentral.